GUAGGUGAACCUGCGGAAGGAUCAUUAAAAAUGAAGCCGGGAAACCGGUCCUUCUAACCCUUGAUUAUCUCAAUUUGUUGCUUUGGUGGGCCGCGCAAGCACCGGCUUUGGCUGGAUCGUGCCCGCCAGAGGACCACAACUCUGUAUUAAAUGUCGUCUGAGUACUAUAAAAUAGUUAAAACUUUCAACAACGGAUCUCUUGGUUCUG
Molecule: unclassified non-coding RNA, 208 nt
Filed under: rhizosphere metagenome
Description: partial ribosomal RNA internal transcribed spacer region
Source: RNAcentral